RNAcentral lists this ribosomal RNA (253 nucleotides) under uncultured bacterium. RNAcentral's name for it is "partial 16S ribosomal RNA". It matches the Rfam family "Bacterial small subunit ribosomal RNA", at positions 524 to 776 of the family's 1533-position model. The record is from RNAcentral.
UACGUAGGUGGCAAGCGUUGUCCGGAUUUAUUGGGUUUAAAGGGUGCGUAGGCGGUCUAUUAAGUCAGCGGUGAAAUCCUCCAGCUUAACUGGAGGGGUGCCAUUGAUACUGAUGGACUUGAGUCAAGUCGAGGUAGGCGGAAUUGACGGUGUAGCGGUGAAAUGCUUAGAUAUCGUCAAGAACACCAAUAGUGAAGACAGCUUACUGGGCUUAAACUGACGCUGAGGCACGAAAGUGUGGGGAUCAAACAGG